RNAcentral lists this ribosomal RNA (334 nucleotides) under Brachistosternus coquimbo. RNAcentral describes it as "partial 12S small subunit ribosomal RNA". Lineage: Eukaryota; Metazoa; Arthropoda; Arachnida; Scorpiones; Bothriuridae. The record is from RNAcentral.
UAAAAAUUUAUUUAUUUUAGGUAGUAACAGAUUUCUUGAAACCUAAAGAAUUUGGCGGUAUUUUAAAUAAUUAGAGGAACCUGUUAAUUAAAUGAUAAUCCACAACAUAUCUUACCUAAAUUAAGUUUGUAUACCGUUGUUUUUAGUUUAUAUUUAAAGAUUAUGAUCAAAAUUAAUUAAUUUUUAUAAAUCAAAUCAAGGUGCAGCAUAUUUGGGUUUUAAUGGGUUACAAUAUAUUUAUAUAUACGGAUAAAUUAUGAAAAUGCUUUUUGAAGGUGGAUUUAAAAGUAAUUUAAAAUUAAAAUGUUUAAAUGAAUAAAAAUUUAAAAUAUGU